ACUAAAUAGCUGUGUUUAAAACACCUCAAUGUUGUAAUUUUACAAGACAAAAAUUGCAGAUUCACCCCAAAGUCAAGUGACAUGGUAUAAAUGGGGGGUCCCUGGAGAACUGCGGACAUGGUGGAUGGUCAAUGCAUGGGACUCAAAAUGUCUUAGUAAAAAUGUAUGUGCUUGGUUUUGGCCUGACUGUUUUCAACAUGUUUUUGAAAACAUUUGAAGUGAGAGAUGGAGAAUGUUGUUUCAUAUUUAAUCAGCGCUGUCUGGUUGGACAGUUUGACUGCAGUUAACAAGCAGUGAAUGACACGUUAGCUUUCCAAAAAAGAAGCCCAGUCUUCAGCAGAGAAAGCCUUAAUCAUUUUAAAACAGUCCCUUCAUACACUUUGACAGAAGCUCAAAUAUCUUCAAGGUCCAGACACAAACUACCUGAUGGAGUCAGAAAUGACAUCAUCAUACUCGUAGUUGACGGAUCCACCAACCAGCAAUCGAGUUACAAACGAGCACACGCACACAAAGAAUGCAUUCCGAUCCUUUUAUUUGUCGUGAAUGUGGUACAACAGCAUCAAUGUGGAAGAUAAGGUGGCUGCUUCAGAGAGAGAGAGGACACUGGGAAGAUAAUGUCGGAGUUCUGCUGGGACCAAAGUUGCUCAUUGUUUGAGUUGGAGGACUUUUGCAUCUGAUGACGUAUGAUAUGUCACAGCUUAUAACAUCAAAAAAAGGUGGCAUUUUUAUUUUUCACCUCGAUAACGAAACAUGGAGAACUCUUUCCUUUUACACCAGAAUGGCGAUUCACAGGUUGUUAGUCACUCAGAUGUACUCCACUUACGUCUUUCUUUAGAUUUGCUGCAUUUAAAUGGCAGCUACUGAAAUUUACUAAGUGUCCGAAUUAAAGAAGGUUGUAAUUUUCCUCGAUCUUGGCUUCAUUGAAUAUUAAACUUCCAGGGAAGCUCAAAGCAACCUGAUGGAUGCACAUCACAUAUAGACAUAAUUGCCAAUGUCUUUUUAGGGAGUCAAAUAUAAAACUAACAGCAAUUUAAAGGUGGAAUUUUCACCACAUUUAGAUUUUUCACAGUUACAUUUCACCAUCAAAUCCAGUCACAACUUUGGCCUCACUCUGCGACAGAAUCCCACACAUGGUUUGUAAUCUGUAUGUUGAAUCACUCAAAGUGAAACUCUGACCCUGGUCUGUACACAAUGGCAAUCAGCUGCAAAAAAGUUUAAAAUGUUUCUCUGACGGCGCAACUCAAAUAUAGUGAGUUAAGAGGUUCACUGCUUAAUCACAACAAAUAUGUUCUGUCCAGAGCAUAUUUUCAUUAACAGGAUAAUUAAGCUCCCCCUAGAAAGAAAUACAAAAAGAAGAAGGGAAAACACACCAAAAGAAAAGGCACCUCUGAAUCUUCUCACCUGUCUCUAACCAACAUCAGAUCCAAAUCAGAGCAAAAACACCUGUUACAGUCCAGAAAGAAAAAGGAGUGGAACACAAACACAUGUCUACAGCUGCUCUCCUCUCUCCUCCGCACAGCAAAGUGCCUCCUGGUAAUGUUCAACGCUCUCACUCAACAUGGCACUCACUUCAGGUGUACAAACCAGAAACUGUACAUGACAAGAAAUGAAACUAUAUAUAUAAAAAAUACCCUCAAGCAGUGAGAAAACAGUGAUCAGCUUAAGAUGAACAAAACAAAUCAUAUUAUUAUUUUUAUCAUACAGAAAGUGCUAUCAGCCACCAGCAAAGAGAACCAGUGAUCAAAAAUGAUUGAAGCUUACUGUACUGAUAGCAGCCAAAUGCUCAAUUAAAAAGGCCCUUCAUUUCUUUGACUUUAAAUAUUCAUACAACUGACUAGAACUCCUCUAGUCUCAGUCUAGUCUUACAGACAAGUGCCAAUCUGUGAUUUUUGGAAAGGUAUUAUCAUAAACAAAUCAGCCUUUAUAUGUGUGUUCUCAAUUUCACACAACUGCUUCAGCCUUUCCCAGAGGUGGGACCAAGUCAUUGUUUUACAAGUCACAAGUUACAAAUCUUAUGUAUCAAGUCAUGACAGGUAAGUCCCAAGUCAAGAUAGGCAAGUCCCAAGUCAACACAGGUAAGUCCCAAGUCAAGAUAGGCAAGUCCCAAAUAAAGUCAGCAAGUCCCAAGUCAAGACAGGUAAAUCCCAAGUCAAGAUUGGCAAGUCCCAAGUCAAGACAGGUGAGUCCCAAGUCAAGAUUGGCAAGUCCCAAGUCAAGAUAGGUAAGUCCCAAAUAAAGUCAGCAAAUCCCAAGUCAAGACAGGUAAGUCCCAAGUCAAGAUUGGCAAGUCCCAAGUCAAGAUAGGCAAGUCCCAAGUCAACACAGGUAAGUCCCAAGUCAACACAGGUAAGUCCCAAGUCAAGAUGGGCAAGUCCCAAGUCAACACAGGUAAGUCCCAAGUCAAGACAGAUAAGUCCCAAGUCAAGAUAGGCAAGUCCUAAA
Epinephelus moara (kelp grouper) is the source of this 2442-nucleotide long non-coding RNA. RefSeq lists it as uncharacterized. The record is from RefSeq and is a predicted model, not a curated record. NCBI's taxonomy places the organism in Eukaryota, Metazoa, Chordata, Actinopteri, Perciformes, Serranidae. The transcript has 2 exons.